GCUUCUUUUCUUAAGGACAAGCUGUGAUGGGGAGGGAAAUAAUAGUACCGAAGUUCCUGAUGUCACACUGCCGAGAAAAGCUUCUAGUGAGAAAACAGCGGCCCGUACCGCAAACCGACACAGGUAGUCGAGGAGAGAAUCCUAAGGUGAGCGAGAGAACUCUCGUUAAGGAACUCGGCAAAAUGACCCCGUAACUUCGGGAGAAGGGGUGCUGAUCAUACGAUCAGCCGCAGUGAAUAGGCCCAAGCGACUGUUUAUCAAAAACACAGGUCUCUGCAAAAUCGUAAGAUGAAGUAUAGGGGCUGACGCCUGCCCGGUGCUGGAAGGUUAAGAGGAGUGCUUAGCGCAAGCGAAGGUACGAAUUGAAGCCCCAGUAAACGGCGGCCGUAACUAUAACGGUCCUAAGGUAGCGAAAUUCCUUGUCGGGUAAGUUCCGACCCGCACGAAAGGCGUAACGAUUUGGGCACUGUCUCAACGAGAGACUCGGUGAAAUUUUAGUACCUGUGAAGAUGCAGGUUACCCGCGACAGGACGGAAAGACCCCAUGGAGCUUUACUGUAGUUUGAUAUUGAGUGUCUGUACCGCAUGUACAGGAUAGGUAGGAGCCGUAGAAAUCGGAACGCUAGUUUCGAUGGAGGCGCUGGUGGGAUACUACCCCUGCGUUAUG
Molecule: ribosomal RNA, 666 nt
Filed under: Enterococcus faecium
Lineage: Bacteria; Bacillati; Bacillota; Bacilli; Lactobacillales; Enterococcaceae
Description: partial 23S ribosomal RNA
Rfam family: Bacterial large subunit ribosomal RNA
Source: RNAcentral